RNAcentral lists this ribosomal RNA (405 nucleotides) under uncultured bacterium. Its description in RNAcentral is "partial 16S ribosomal RNA". It matches the Rfam family "Bacterial small subunit ribosomal RNA", at positions 28 to 526 of the family's 1533-position model. The record is from RNAcentral.
GAUGAACGCUGGCGGCUUGCCUAAUACAUGCAAGUCGAGCGCAGCGGGGACGGUUGAGUAACACGUUGAUAACCUCCUAUAAGACUGGGAUCACUUCGGGAAACCGGAGCUAAACCGGCUCCUUAUAGAUGGAUCCUCUCUGCAUUAGCUAGUUGGUAAGGUAACGGCUUACCAAGGCAACGAUGCAUAGCCGACCUGAGAGGGUGAUCGGCCACACUGGAACUGAGACACGGUCCAGACUCCUACGGGAGGCAGCAGUAGGGAAUCUUGCGCAAUGGGCGAAAGCCUGACGGAGCAAAGCCGCGUGAGUGAUGAAGGUCUUCGGAUCGUAAAACUCUGUUAGUAGGGAAGCGGUACAUAAGCAGAAAGCAACGGCUAACUACGUGCCAGCAGCCGCGGUAAUUC